Molecule: ribosomal RNA, 497 nt
Filed under: uncultured bacterium
Lineage: Bacteria
Description: partial 16S ribosomal RNA
Rfam family: Bacterial small subunit ribosomal RNA
Source: RNAcentral
GAUGAACGCUGGCGGCGUGCCUAAUACAUGCAAGUCGAGCGAACGGACGAGAAGCUUGCUUCUCUGAUGUUAGCGGCGGACGGGUGAGUAACACGUGGGUAACCUACCUAUAAGACUGGGAUAACUUCGGGAAACCGGAGCUAAUACCGGAUAAUAUUUUGAACCGCAUGGUUCAAAAGUGAAAGACGGUCUUGCUGUCACUUAUAGAUGGAUCCGCGCUGCAUUAGCUAGUUGGUAAGGUAACGGCUUACCAAGGCAACGAUGCAUAGCCGACCUGAGAGGGUGAUCGGCCACACUGGAACUGAGGCACGGUCCAGACUCCUACGGGAGGCAGCAGUAGGGAAUCUUCCGCAAUGGGCGAAAGCCUGACGGAGCAACGCCGCGUGAGUGAUGAAGGUCUUCGGAUCGUAAAACUCUGUUAUUAGGGAAGAACAUAUGUGUAAGUAACUGUGCACAUCUUGACGGUACCUAAUCAGAAAGCCACGGCUAACUACGUG